UCGCCAUUGGAGGGGCCCGCGUCGGAUUAGGUAGUUGGUGAGGUAACGGCUCACCAAGCCGACGAUCCGUAGCUGGUCUGAGAGGAUGAUCAGCCACACUGGGACUGAGACACGGCCCAG
This 120-nucleotide ribosomal RNA is filed under the name uncultured bacterium. RNAcentral describes it as "partial 16S ribosomal RNA". It matches the Rfam family "Bacterial small subunit ribosomal RNA", at positions 215 to 334 of the family's 1533-position model. The record is from RNAcentral.